AGGAUUUACCCUGAGGAACAUUUACAAGAGUUUGAACAGUGUGUAAAAUGUUCAUCAAAAUUGUUUUAAGUGCAAAGCAAGAAAUCACAUAUUAAAACAGAGAAAUUUUGUUGUUUGGUAAAAAAUACAUGCUUAUUUUGAACUUAGGGGCAGGAGCAUGUUUCUCAUCCUCAGUCAUACUAAUAGACUGUAUAUACUAUGGAUAAUUUGGUUCCGCCUCCCGCCUGUAUAUGGAUUUGAAGCCAAAAAGCUCUCAGUAUUUCCGGGAUUUUUCUUUAUUUCUUGAAACCAGCGCAGCACAGUAGCAUUGUACGUAUUUGGCGGGGGAGCUGCCGUGAGUCGCUGUGAUGCUCAAACAGCGUGUCCCCCCGGUGAGCUACGCAAUCCCUGAACGCCAAUAGGCUGUAUCAGGUGUCAAUCAUAGAAAACAUGAACCCCCUAAUAACUUUUAAAAACAG
Molecule: non-coding RNA, 458 nt
Organism: Xyrichtys novacula (pearly razorfish)
Lineage: Eukaryota; Metazoa; Chordata; Actinopteri; Labriformes; Labridae
Source: the annotation of a GenBank genome assembly